RNAcentral lists this long non-coding RNA (318 nucleotides) under Physeter macrocephalus (sperm whale). RNAcentral's name for it is "Physeter catodon (sperm whale) lncRNA (ENSPCTG00005001321.1)". Lineage: Eukaryota; Metazoa; Chordata; Mammalia; Artiodactyla; Physeteridae. The record is from RNAcentral.
UUCAUUCCUGACAGUGGUCAGCCUUGAAAGAAAAACUUUGUUUUCAUCACCUGGACUAGAUAGUAAAACUUUGCAGUAGUUCCCAAUUUCCUCCACUGCCUUCUAUUGGAUUUGUCUUGUAGACAAAUAUACCUGUGAAUUUCUAUCUCAUUUGUCUUUUGGAACCACUUUGGAAAAGAAGCAGUUAUGUUAGAAUUUAAGAAAAAGAGGAACAGCAGAGGCAAAGAAAUGGGGAAAUGUCAUCUUUGCAUUGUUUCCAAUCCACCUGCUCCAUUUGGAGAUCAAAUGUUUGAGACAAAAAAUUUGGACAAAUUGUGA